Molecule: ribosomal RNA, 429 nt
Filed under: Chloroflexota bacterium
Lineage: Bacteria; Bacillati; Chloroflexota
Description: Chloroflexi bacterium partial 16S ribosomal RNA
Rfam family: Bacterial small subunit ribosomal RNA
Source: RNAcentral
UGGGGAAUAUUGCACAAUGGGCGCAAGCCUGAUGCAGCCAUGCCGCGUGUGUGAAGAAGGCCUUCGGGUUGUAAAGCACUUUCAGCGGGGAGGAAGGCGAUAAGGUUAAUAACCUCAUCGAUUGACGUUACCCGCAGAAGAAGCACCGGCUAACUCCGUGCCAGCAGCCGCGGUAAUACGGAGGGUGCAAGCGUUAAUCGGAAUUACUGGGCGUAAAGCGCACGCAGGCGGUUUGUUAAGUCAGAUGUGAAACCCCCGGGCUCAACCUGGGAACUGCAUCUGAUACUGGCAAGCUUGAGUCUCGUGGAGGGGGGUAGAAUUCCAGGUGUAGCGGUGAAAUGCGUAGAGAUCUGGAGGAAUACCGGUGGCGAAGGCGGCCCCCUGGACGAAGACUGACGCUCAGGUGCGAAAGCGGGGGGAGCAAACAGG